UGAAUACGAGAUGCUACGGCGUCGAAGCAGUGUAUGUCAGACUUCCAAGAAAAGCUCGCAAUGUCAUAAAUAAAGAAUGCCUGUACCAUAACCGACACAGGUGGGUAGGUAGAGUAUACUAAGGGGCGCGAGAUAACUCUCUCUAAGGAACUCGGCAAAAUAACUCCGUAACUUCGGGAGAAGGAGUGCCUUCUUUAAGAAGGUUGCAAUAACAAGAUCCAAGCAACUGUUUAUCAAAAACACAGGUCUCCGCUAAGUCGUAAGACGAUGUAUGGGGGCUGACGCCUGCCCAGUGCCAGAAGGUUAAAGAAGUUGGUUAGCUUUUGCGAAGCUGAUGACUGAAGCCCUGGUGAACGGCGGCCGUAACAAUAACGGUCCUAAGGUAGCGAAAUUCCUUGUCGGGUAAGUUCCGACCCGCACGAAAGGCGUAAUGAUUUGGAUGCUGUCUCGGAGAGGGACUCGGUGAAAUAGACUUGUCUGUGAAGAUGCGGACUACCUGCACCAGGACAGAAAGACCCUAUGAAGCUUUACUGUAACUUGAAAUUGAAAUUGGACUUUAUUUGCGCAGUAUAGGUGGAAGGCGUUGAAAGUAAUCUUGCGGGAUUAGUGGAGCCAUCAGUGAGAUACCACUCCUAUAAUGUUAGAUUUCUAACUUUGGAUCAUGAUCUGGUCAAAGAACAGUUUCAGGCGGGCAGUUUGACUGGGGCGGUCGCCUCCCAAAUGGUAACGGAGGCGUACAAAGGUUUCCUCUGAACGGGUAGAAAUCGUAUCUAGAGUGUAAAGGCAUAAGGAAGCUUGACUGUGAGACCUACAAGUCGAGCAGGGACGAAAGUCGGUCUUAGUGAUCUGACGGUGCUGAGUGGAAAGGCCGUCACUCAACGGAUAAAAGUUACUCUAGGAUAACAGGCUGAUCUCCCCCAAGAGUUCACAUCGACGGGGAGGUUUGGCACCUCGAUGUCGGCUCAUCGCAUCCUGGGGCGGUAGUACGUCCCAAGGGUUGGGCUGUUCGCCCAUGAAAGCGGUACGCGAGCUGGGUUCAGAACGUCGUGAGACAGUUCGGUCCAUAUCCGGUGUAGGCGUUAGAAUAUUGAGAGGAGCCUUCUUUAGUACGAGAGGACCGAGAAGGACAUACCUCUGGUGUACCAGUUAUCGUGCCAACGGUAAACGCUGGGUAGCUAUGUAUGGAGAGGAUAACCGCUGAAAGCAUCUAAGUGGGAAGCCCACCUCAAGAU
This 1232-nucleotide ribosomal RNA is filed under the name metagenome. Its description in RNAcentral is "bacterial LSU rRNA". It matches the Rfam family "Bacterial large subunit ribosomal RNA", at positions 1564 to 2805 of the family's 2925-position model. The record is from RNAcentral.